Molecule: non-coding RNA, 30 nt
Filed under: Mus musculus (house mouse)
Lineage: Eukaryota; Metazoa; Chordata; Mammalia; Rodentia; Muridae
Source: RNAcentral
UGUUGUAUGUCCAGUGCUUAGUGUUCAGCA